RNAcentral lists this ribosomal RNA (427 nucleotides) under uncultured Oscillospiraceae bacterium. Its description in RNAcentral is "bacterial SSU rRNA". It matches the Rfam family "Bacterial small subunit ribosomal RNA", at positions 355 to 794 of the family's 1533-position model. The record is from RNAcentral. Lineage: Bacteria; Bacillati; Bacillota; Clostridia; Eubacteriales; Oscillospiraceae.
UGGGGAAUAUUGGGGCAAUGGGACGAAAGUCUGACCCAGCGACGCCGCGUGAGGGAUGAAGAUCUUCGGAUUGUAAACCUUUGUCAACAGGGACGAAGCAAGUGACGGUACCUGUGGAGGAAGCCACGGCUAACUACGUGCCAGCAGCCGCGGUAAUACGUAGGUGGCGAGCGUUAUCCGGAAUUACUGGGUGUAAAGGGUGUGUAGGCGGGGAGGCAAGUCAGAUGUGAAAACUAUGGGCUCAACCCAUAAAGUGCAUUUGAAACUGUUUCUCUUGAGUGUCGGAGGGGUAGAUGGAAUUCCUUGUGUAGCGGUGAAAUGCGUAGAUAUAAGGAAGAACACCAGUGGCGAAGGCGAUCUACUGGACAGUAACUGACGCUGAGGCGCGAGAGCGUGGGGAGCAAACAGGAUUAGAUACCCUGGUAGU